Molecule: small nuclear RNA, 98 nt
Filed under: Sciurus vulgaris (Eurasian red squirrel)
Lineage: Eukaryota; Metazoa; Chordata; Mammalia; Rodentia; Sciuridae
Source: RNAcentral
UUGUUUUAGCAACAAGUGUACUAAAAUUGAAACAAUAGAGAUUAGUACAAUUCCUGUGCAAGGAUGACAUGAAAAUUUGUGAUGUGUUUUAUAUACAU